RNAcentral lists this ribosomal RNA (717 nucleotides) under Stropharia rugosoannulata. RNAcentral describes it as "eukaryotic LSU rRNA". The stretch from base 292 to 445 matches the Rfam family "5.8S ribosomal RNA". The record is from RNAcentral. Lineage: Eukaryota; Fungi; Basidiomycota; Agaricomycetes; Agaricales; Strophariaceae.
GGAAGUAAAAGUCGUAACAAGGUUUCCGUAGGUGAACCUGCGGAAGGAUCAUUAUUGAAUAAACCUGGCUUGGUUGUUGCUGGUCUUUUCGGAGACAUGUGCACGCCUUGUCAUCUUUAUAUUUCCACCUGUGCACCUUUUGUAGACUUGAGGACAGAUUUCCGAGGCAACUCGGUCGUGAGGAAUUGCUUUAACCGGCUUUCCUUGAAUGUCUUCAAGCCUAUGUUUCAUAUACACCAUAAGAAUGUAACAGAAUGUCAUUAUUAGACUUAUGUCUUAUAAACUAUAUACGACUUUCAGCAACGGAUCUCUUGGCUCUCGCAUCGAUGAAGAACGCAGCGAAAUGCGAUAAGUAAUGUGAAUUGCAGAAUUCAGUGAAUCAUCGAAUCUUUGAACGCACCUUGCGCUCCUUGGUAUUCCGAGGAGCAUGCCUGUUUGAGUGUCAUUAAAUUCUCAACCUUUAUCAGCUUUUUGGUUGAUAAAUGGCUUGGAUGUGGGAGCUUGCAGGUUUCUCUUUUGAAAUCAGCUCUCCUGAAAUACAUUAGCUGGUUGCCUUGUGUAGACUAGUCUAUUAGUGUGAUAAUUAUCUACGCUGUGGACUGUUUACCGAUUAUAGCACUGCUUCUAAUCGUCUGUUAACUCGGACAAUAUAUGACAAUUUGACCUCAAAUCAGGUAGGACUACCCGCUGAACUUAAGCAUAUCAAUAAGCGGAGGA